This is a long non-coding RNA of Pseudopipra pipra, 533 nucleotides long. RefSeq lists it as uncharacterized. The record is from RefSeq and is a predicted model, not a curated record. The transcript is spliced from 2 exons. NCBI's taxonomy places the organism in Eukaryota, Metazoa, Chordata, Aves, Passeriformes, Pipridae.
AUGCUGGGACAAGGACUAACCGUCCUAUCCUGUGGAUAGAUGCUGGGACAACGAUUGACCAUCCCAUCAUGUGGAUCGACGCUGGGACCAGGAUUAACAUCCAUCAGCUGGAUCAACACCUCCUUCUGGACAGGACGACAGCAAUGGGCAGGAACAGGGCAAUGGAGAGGAACAGGACAAUGGCCAUGGAUGAGGAGAAGCCCGCCCAGGCCUCCUCUGCCUCCUCCGCCCCCCGCGGAUGGACCUCAGGCUUCCACAGGAUGGGCAAAGAGCCCCCAGGAUCCUGGGCUUCCCAUCGGUCUGGCCGACCCAGCUGGAUGGACACUGGGACCAGGAUUAACAUCCCAGCAUGAGGGUAGGGAUCCAUGCUGGGACAAGGAUUAACCAUCCUAUCCUGUGGAUAGAUGCUGGGACAAGGAUUAACCAUCCCAGCAUGGACCAAUGCUGGGACAAGGAUCAACAUCCCAUCAUGUGAAUCGACGCUGGGACCAGGAUUAACAUCCAUCAGCUGGAUCAACACCUCCUUCUGGUAA